This is a non-coding RNA of Phoenix dactylifera (date palm), 2557 nucleotides long. NCBI's taxonomy places the organism in Eukaryota, Viridiplantae, Streptophyta, Magnoliopsida, Arecales, Arecaceae. The record is from RefSeq and is a predicted model, not a curated record.
CUUUUAAAGCCUUACGUUCUAAGCUUUUUUUAUUGGAACGGUUCGGCGGUUAAUCCGGAGCGUGGGCCGGACGACCGUCCAAUCCGUGAUGGACGACCCACAGGAGCCGGCAGGCGGUUCGCCGAACCCGGCCACCCUCCCCGCACGACAACCGUGGCGUACGACGAGAAGGACACGCGUGGAGUUACUAUUCGCUCGAGGAACGUGCGAGUGGAACCGGAAGGGCGCAUGCGCACGUGGGGGAUCUGGACCGCUGGUUUUGGUGACUCCUUACGGUUGUCCGCUUGCUUUACUUAAAAAGCCCGGGUGGGACGGCUUUUUUCCACUCACCAAGCGCUUCUCUUGUUUUUCCUUCAACCUCCUCUUCGCCCCUGUUUUCCUUCUUUCUUUCCCAUUUUCUCUCUUAUUUUCCUAAACUUCUAUAUUUCUUCUACUCUCCCUUGAGACCUCUUUUCCAAUUCUCCCACUACUUAGAUAAGUUUCUAUAAUUCUUUAUGCUAAACUUUUAUUCUCCUUGUCCAAUCCAUUUGCUCUUGGAUUCCUAAUGAUCGUCUAAUUUGUUGCUCGACAUUCAAAUUUCCUUCUUGAAUCCAUUCGUUUUCAAAUUAUACUUUAACUUCUAAAAUUUCCAUACCUUCUAUGCUUUUCUUUUCAUGGUUAUACUUUUGACUUCAUUUUUCUUAGAUUUACUCCUUUUUCCCUGCCAAUUGCAUACAAUAUAAUUUCUUUUCUUAUAUCAACUCCUACGUAUGUUCACUCAUUUUGAUAUGAGCUAUUGAUUGAGGAAAAUGCUCGCUUUCUUUGUCAUGUUGUGACUUACAGUAGUUUGUUUAUAAUGGUUUUUGAGAUUUGAUUCCAUAGAGAUCUUAGAUUCAUAGCGUCUAUCCAUUUGUUUUUGUUGGGCAAGAAGAUAAUGAGAUUAUGGAUAUGCUUUUCCACGGCUUUCUUGAACUAUGGACUUGUUUGGAUUUCUUCUUUACCUCUUCUUUUAUAAGGAAGAUUUCAAGAGAUGAGAGACGAAAGGGGAAGACCGUUUAGUGCAAAGUUCAAGAAAGACGUGGGAAAACAUAACAGGUCUCCGAAUCCCACUACUCGUAUAGUUGGUAAUAACCUCCAUUCCUCUGCAAAUUCAAGAAGCUUUUUUUACUGUUGCAGCUCUGAAUUCUAAAUAUCUUGGUGUGAAGCCAAAUAUCAGGGAAUUGGCGCAGACUUUGAUUUUGUCUAAUUAGGUCCUUGAAUAGUUUGAUGAAGCUUCACUUGUCCCAUUAAAGAAAGAGCUCGAGAAAAAAAAAAAUGAAGUGACCUGGUAGCGUGAAUCUCGACCCUCCCACCAAGCAGCAGAACUAUCAGAAAUUGGCACAGAAGUUCUUCAAAGGCCGAGCUUUUGUUACCUCACCAAAAUCUCAUUUUGAUCAAAUUGUGAGUGCUAUACAUAGCAAAGAUCCUUCCCCCACCAUUUUCCCAAGAGAAAAAAAAUGAAAAGAAAAAGAAAAUAUUCAUGCAAUUAUGUCGUAGAAAUUUGUGAGAUUUAUUUGAUACAUAUGGUGCAAAGAAACGACUGUUUCUUUCAUCUCCUCCUUGCAUACGAGUAGCAUCCAUAACUUGGCUAGCUGUUUUUUUUUUUGGUUGAUGAAGAGAAUGUGAUCAUCUCGAUGAAGAAAUAUAACACUAGAUGUUAUGAUAUGCUUGUGCUCAUACAUUUUUUCUUUCAAUUUUUUUUAUGAGUUCUGACAUGCUUUUUUGUGAAUGGGCCUGGAGAAGAAAAGCAUCUGAGUGCAUGGAACUGGUCAUGGAAAUUGGAAAGCGAUGGUCAUAGGCUUUUCUUCAAUUUUUAUUUCUAUUUUCCCCUUCAUUUCCAAAUUGAAGCAAGAAGUGGAUGGCCAUUGGGGGAUUCUACGAAUUAUUCUUUAACAGCUAUGAGGAAAGCGAUCAGCUUUUGGCGGUCUCUGAUAGCUGCAGCACUGGGCAGUAGGCAGAGGAAAUAUCAGAAAGCGAAAGGUACAAAAGGAAGAAUGUGGGGAAAGGAAAGAAGAAACUCAUGUGAGUUCCUGUGCAAGAGGGGACUUUACAACUCAGAAGCACACAAGACAUGAAAGGAAGGAAGGUGGACGUAUAUGUGGCCUUUACAAUAAUGAGCAAAAAACGAAGAGAAGAGAAAGUGCUUGAAAACUGCUCACAAUUAAUCCACGUCUAUCCCAUGAACAAUAAGAUCCAAGGGAUCUGCAUGCAAGGUCUUUCAGAUGUAUUUUAUACGCAGACAUAUUUAUUUUCCUUUUCUAAUCACAGCUUAUGGGCAAGUUUGGAUGUCAAUAGAAGAAAGUACAUUGGAAGUGGGAUUCAGUAAGUUUUAAAUAUAACAGGGGGUGUCUGAUGGGAAACUGGAAAUAGAUAGGUUUGCCUUUAUGCCAUGAGAAAUGACUUGUAACUUUAUGGAGUCAUUUCAUGAUGGUAGUUGUGUAAGUAGUGAAUACAUAGGUUUUUGCGGAUUUUAGUGAAUACCAGAUUUUGAAAGCUGAUGAACCAAAAAAAAAGAAGAAAAGCUGUCCACUUUCUUAAA